CUCACGCGACACCGAGUCGUCGAGGCCA
Molecule: small RNA, 28 nt
Filed under: Bombyx mori (domestic silkworm)
Lineage: Eukaryota; Metazoa; Arthropoda; Insecta; Lepidoptera; Bombycidae
Description: ovarian small RNA-14653
Source: RNAcentral